UACCUCAAAAUUCCGCCACAGUCUGUUUCAUCAGUAAAGAAUCAUCAGGCGGUACCAUCAUACCGCCUGAUGAUUCUUUACUGAUGAAACAGACUGUUGCGGAAUUU
RNAcentral lists this microRNA precursor (107 nucleotides) under Paramuricea clavata. The record is from RNAcentral. Lineage: Eukaryota; Metazoa; Cnidaria; Anthozoa; Malacalcyonacea; Plexauridae.